GUGUGUUUAACUAUGGCGAUAAGAAGUAUAUAAUAAUUUAAUUGCAUAAAAUUUUUUUAGGCUCUGUCUUAAAGGUACCUCUUGUUAUUAUUAGCAGUUAGUUUUUUAGUAAAAUUAGCGUUUUAUAAGAUAUUAUUAUAUAAAAGGGGAUAGGACACAGUGCCAGCAUCCGCGGUUAAUCUGUUUUCUUUGCUUUUAUUGGAUUGAGUUGUGGAUGAUUAAAGUUAAGGUUUGGUGAAAUUUUCUUAUGUUUUUAUUUAACAUCUAUGUAAAGGUGAGUUAGUUUAAAUGACAGGGAUUAGAUACCCCAUUAAUAACUAAAUUAAUUUAUAUCUAGUUUUAUAACUAAAAUAGUUUGGCAGCGAGUUAAUCCUAUUGGGGGAAGGUGCGUUGUAAAGGACGAUCCACCCAUUAAAUUACCUGUGUUAUGUUGGUGUAUAUCUGGUUAGAUAUUAUUGUUUAAUAACUGAAUUUGUGUAUACAUUUUUAAGCCAAGUCUAUGUGCUGCUUGCAUAGGGUUUCGUGCGUUACAUUAAUAAUAUAGAUGUUUUGUAGAUAUUAUUUAUUUUAGGACUCAAAAGUAAUGUGGAAUUAAAUUGUUCAUGUGAAAGAGGUUUAACUUGGGUACACACCGCCCGUCACCCUCGAUAUUUAUUUGAGGUAAGUCGUAACAUGGUAACCCCAAAUGAAUUUGGGGUUAAUUACUUGUUUUA
This 713-nucleotide non-coding RNA is filed under the name Echeneibothrium williamsi. Lineage: Eukaryota; Metazoa; Platyhelminthes; Cestoda; Rhinebothriidea; Echeneibothriidae. The record is from RNAcentral.